AAGGUGUAGAAAAAAAGAGGUGAGUUGUUUGUUGCUGUGGUAAACAAAGAAGUGUACUGAAUCUUUUGGACUACACAGAGUGAUGUAGUAUUGACUGUGAUGCUGAUUUGAGUUGUCUCAUUCUGUAUUUUUGUGCUUUGUCUUUUGUUACACAGAGUGAAAGAGAUCUUUGGUUUUGCCUUUGCUGACUGCUGAUCUGAUCGUCUCAAGUCUGGUGACCUGCUGCAGAAAACCCUCUCCCUCUAUCGUUGACAAGCAAUUAACAAGCAAUUUCAGUCUGUCCUAUCACUCUCCCUCUCCCUGCUCCAUCUUUUUUGACAAGCCAUUCUAUCUUCUAUCAUUUCUCCGCCAUGAGCUCUAUCUAAUUUUGACAAGCUUGAACCUGUGUUGACAAGAAAUCUAAGUUUGACAAGAAAUCUAAGUUUGACAAGAAACCAAG
Molecule: long non-coding RNA, 439 nt
Organism: Oreochromis aureus
Lineage: Eukaryota; Metazoa; Chordata; Actinopteri; Cichliformes; Cichlidae
Exons: 3
Source: RefSeq, a predicted model, not a curated record